Molecule: long non-coding RNA, 203 nt
Filed under: Elaeis guineensis (African oil palm)
Lineage: Eukaryota; Viridiplantae; Streptophyta; Magnoliopsida; Arecales; Arecaceae
Description: long non-coding RNA (EGUI_LNC013519)
Source: RNAcentral
GGACAAGCACGAGAACCCGAGGCCUGGUCGGAUAUGGAUUGGGUGAUCUCACAUCUCCAAAUGACAUAGUCCAGUGCAUGUUCAAUGCAGGCUAUACGGCUGGAUUCUGGACAUGCCGGAACCGGAUUAAGAUGGCCUUCCCAAGGCUCGACCUCUUUAAUUUUUCUUUAGACGGUGAUGCGAAACCUUUCGCUCCCUAGGGC